This 275-nucleotide unclassified non-coding RNA is filed under the name uncultured Bartonella sp. RNAcentral describes it as "partial 16S-23S ribosomal RNA intergenic spacer". The record is from RNAcentral. Lineage: Bacteria; Pseudomonadati; Pseudomonadota; Alphaproteobacteria; Hyphomicrobiales; Bartonellaceae.
CGUUCUGUUCAUUAAAUUCUAAAAGCAUUUAAAAAAAUGCUUUAAAGAAAAUGCUCUAAAGUAUUAAACAGCUCUAAAGCGUUUAAGAAAUGUAUCUAAAGCGUUUAAGAAACAAAUAAAGAAGGUGUAAAAAAACAGGUAAAGAAGGCGUUUAAAAAACAUAUCUGUUUCUUAAACAUAUCUUUUGUUUUUUGUUUUCUUUUGUUUGUCCCGGGGAAGGUUUUUGCCAAUUCACUCCUGAGGGCUUGUAGCUCAGUUGGUUAGAGCGCGCGCUU